CCUACGGGAGGCAGCAGUGAGGAAUAUUGGUCAAUGGGCUUACGCCUGAACCAGCCAAGUCGCGUGAGGGAAGACUGCCCUAUGGGUUGUAAACCUCUUUUGUCAGGGAGCAAUUGGCGCUACGUGUAGCGUUAUCUAGAGUACCUGAAGAAAAAGCAUCGGCUAACUCCGUGCCAGCAGCCGCGGUAAUACGGAGGAUGCGAGCGUUAUCCGGAUUUAUUGGGUUUAAAGGGUGCGUAGGCGGAAUGCCAAGUCAGCGGUAAAAUCGCGGGGCUCAACCUCGCUCCGCCGUUGAAACUGGCGUUCUUGAGUGGGCGAGAAGUAGGCGGAAUGCGUGGUGUAGCGGUGAAAUGCAUAGAUAUCACGCAGAACUCCGAUUGCGAAGGCAGCAUACCGGCGCCCAACUGACGCUGAAGCACGAAAGCGUGGGUAUCGAACAGGAUUAGAUACCCUAGUAGUC
RNAcentral lists this ribosomal RNA (460 nucleotides) under uncultured bacterium. Its description in RNAcentral is "partial 16S ribosomal RNA". It matches the Rfam family "Bacterial small subunit ribosomal RNA", at positions 338 to 795 of the family's 1533-position model. The record is from RNAcentral.